This 1011-nucleotide ribosomal RNA is filed under the name uncultured bacterium. RNAcentral's name for it is "bacterial SSU rRNA". It matches the Rfam family "Bacterial small subunit ribosomal RNA", at positions 48 to 1105 of the family's 1533-position model. The record is from RNAcentral.
CUUAUACAUGCAGUCGAACGAAGUAGCAAUACUUAGUGGCAGACGGGUGAGUAACAUGUAGGUAUCUGCCCUUUGGCCUGGAAUAACACGAGGAAACUUGUGCUAAUACCGGAUAAGUCUUUACGGAGAAAGCUUUAUGCACCAUUGGAGGAGCCCGCACUUGAUUAGUUUGUUGGUAGGGUAAUGGCCUACCAAGACUAUGAUCAAUAGCUGAUUUGAGAGGAUGAUCAGCCACAUUGGGACUGAGACACGGCCCAAACUCCUACGGGAGGCAGCAGUGGGGAAUCUUGCACAAUGGAGGAAACUCUGAUGCAGCGAUGCCGCGUGAGUGAAGAAGGCCUUUGGGUUGUAAAGCUCUUUCGUCGGGGAAGAAAAUGACUGUACCCGAAUAAGAAGGUCCGGCUAACUUCGUGCCAGCAGCCGCGGUAAUACGAAGGGACCUAGCGUAGUUCGGAAUUACUGGGCUUAAAGAGUUCGUAGGUGGUUGAAAAAGUUGGUGGUGAAAUCCCAGAGCUUAACUCUGGAACUGCCAUCAAAACUUUUCAGCUAGAGUAUGAUAGAGGAAAGCAGAAUUUCUAGUGUAGAGGUGAAAUUCGUAGAUAUUAGAAAGAAUACCAAUUGCGAAGGCAGCUUUCUGGAUCAUUACUGACACUGAGGAACGAAAGCAUGGGUAGCGAAGAGGAUUAGAUACCCUCGUAGUCCAUGCCGUAAACGAUGUGUGUUAGACGUUGGAAAUUUAUUUUCAGUGUCGCAGGGAAACCGAUAAACACACCGCCUGGGGAGUACGACCGCAAGGUUAAAACUCAAAUGAAUUGACGGGGACCCGCACAAGUAGUGGAGCAUGUGGUUUAAUUCGAAGAUACGCGCAGAACCUUACCAACACUUGACAUGUUCGUCGCGACUCUAGAGAUUAGAGUUUUCGGUUCGGCCGGACGAAACACAGGUGCUGCAUGGCUGUCGUCAGCUCGUGUCGUGAGAUGUUGGGUUAAGUCCCGCAACGAGCGCACCCCU